UACGUAGGGGGCCAGCGUUGUUCGGAAUUACUGGGUGUAAAGGGUUCGUAGGCGGUGUGGCAAGUUGGGAGUGAAAUCUCUGGGCUCAACCCAGAGACGGCUUCCAAAACUGCCGUGCUUGAGUGUGGGAGAGGCUCGUGGAAUUGCAGGUGUAGCGGUGGAAUGCGCAGAUAUCAGGAGGAACACCAACGGCGAAGGCAGCUCGCUGGGACGGUACUGACGCUGAGGCGCGAAAGCGUGGGGAGCGAACAGG
Molecule: ribosomal RNA, 253 nt
Filed under: uncultured bacterium
Lineage: Bacteria
Description: partial 16S ribosomal RNA
Rfam family: Bacterial small subunit ribosomal RNA
Source: RNAcentral